ACUAUGAGUCAGAAAUCCUCAAGUUAAAUCUGCCAGAGUUCUUUGGUUAUUAAAUUUCAUGUUUUGGAGAAUAAGAUAUGUGUCACCUAUUCAUGGUAAUGAGGAGAGAAGAAGAAGGAAUUUCCACAGAGACUUCAUGUGUGCUCAAACAGCAGACUCUAUCUUGGUGCCAGGUCCUGGCAGCAGAAUGCUUUAUAGAAGAGAAGAACAGCUGCAACUGGCCCAUCUCAGGAUUAAAAAAAAAAAAACAGCAAAUGUGAAAAGACACAGUUUGAGAAAAGACCUUUACCAGGACUGCAGGAGACACAGUGUGCUAGGCUGUUCAUCAGACAUGGAUUUGACUAUGAAAUGAAUCUUCUCCAAACUGUGUAGUGAGCUGAUGUUUAAGGCCAUGGAUUCCCUGCAAGGGCUUUGUUCCAGCCUGAACUGGAACAAAGGGAAUUUGUUCAUUAGAAGUUAUCAGGGUAAAUACUUACUCUGUCAAGAUUCCUAUAGCAUCCAGAGGA
Molecule: long non-coding RNA, 506 nt
Filed under: Vulpes vulpes (red fox)
Lineage: Eukaryota; Metazoa; Chordata; Mammalia; Carnivora; Canidae
Description: lncRNA (ENSVVUG00000004808.1)
Source: RNAcentral